Molecule: transfer RNA, 70 nt
Filed under: Crepidodera sp. BMNH 846613
Lineage: Eukaryota; Metazoa; Arthropoda; Insecta; Coleoptera; Chrysomelidae
Description: tRNA-Gln
Source: RNAcentral
UAUAUUUUAGUAUAUAAUGUACAUUAAUUUUUGAUGUUAAAAGAGAUAGAUUAUGCCUAUUAAAUAUAAU